This 491-nucleotide long non-coding RNA is filed under the name Equus asinus (donkey). RNAcentral's name for it is "lncRNA (ENSEASG00005033440.1)". Lineage: Eukaryota; Metazoa; Chordata; Mammalia; Perissodactyla; Equidae. The record is from RNAcentral.
GGUAACUGAAACCGUGGACAGUGAAACUGCAGAUAUUUGGAGCUGAGUCUGUGUUCUGGCACUGAGGAUCCUACUGCAGACUUUGUCUUUCUUGCUAGGUUUGAUGAAGUAAAUUGCAAUGGUGAAGAGGCCCAUGUGGCAAGGAGCUGAGGGUGGCCUCUGAUCAACAGUCAGUGAUAAUCAAGUCCCUCAGAACAACACUCAAGGAACUGACUUCUGCCAAUAACCACGUGGUAGGGAGCCACUGGUGAGAAGAUGUUCGUUAGUAAGUUUUUGCUACAAAGAAUGUUUGCUGGCAUCAGUGAAGAAUGUUUAUCUUUGCUUGCAAAUGAUAUUGCCUGUAUCAUGAAUAACUAUGAGGAGAACACAAAAGGAAAAUUCCAAAAUUUAAAUUUGCACAUUUAUUGCAGUUCCAUGUUUCAAGUGUCUAAUGCCUAUUAAUUCAGAUGCCAUGAUUUUCUUUUCUUCUCCAUGAUCAUUUUGACUUGGAU